Mus musculus (house mouse) is the source of this 6607-nucleotide RNA transcript. It is a transcript of the gene named gamma-aminobutyric acid type A receptor subunit gamma 1, with no coding region annotated. The transcript has 10 exons. Lineage: Eukaryota; Metazoa; Chordata; Mammalia; Rodentia; Muridae. The record is from RefSeq and is marked validated.
AGUUCUGCUGGGAGUCGCAUCCUACCUGCUUCGGAGGUGUACUGCCUAUCCACUCCUUGUACUCACUGUGUGGUUGCUGAGGCUUGAGGCAAAACUCUGUGCUUGGGGACUGAGCUAGUGGAGGAAGGACUGUAAAAGCGAACCCGAUGGGUUCUGGGAAAGCCUUCCUCUUCUCUCCUUCUCUCCUGUGGAGUCAAACUAGAGGAGUGAGGUUGAUAUUCUUGUUACUAACCCUGCAUCUGGGAAACUGUGUCGAUAAAGCAGAUGAUGAAGAUGAUGAAGAUUUAACUAUGAACAAAACAUGGGUCUUGGCACCAAAAAUUCAUGAAGGAGAUAUCACACAAAUCCUCAACUCUUUGCUUCAAGGUUAUGAUAACAAACUUCGUCCAGAUAUAGGCGUGAGACCCACAGUGAUUGAAACAGAUGUUUAUGUAAACAGCAUUGGACCUGUGGAUCCCAUAAACAUGGAGUAUACAAUAGACAUAAUUUUUGCCCAAACCUGGUUUGACAGCCGUUUAAAGUUCAAUAGCACCAUGAAAGUACUUAUGCUCAACAGCAACAUGGUGGGGAAAAUUUGGAUUCCCGACACUUUCUUCAGGAACUCAAGAAAAUCGGAUGCACACUGGAUAACAACGCCUAAUCGCCUGCUGCGGAUUUGGAGUGAUGGAAGGGUUCUCUAUACUCUUCGAUUAACAAUUAAUGCAGAGUGCUACCUUCAACUUCAUAAUUUUCCUAUGGAUGAACAUUCCUGUCCACUGGAAUUUUCAAGCUAUGGAUACCCUAAAAAUGAAAUUGAGUACAAGUGGAAAAAGCCCUCUGUGGAAGUAGCUGAUCCUAAGUACUGGAGAUUAUAUCAGUUUGCAUUUGUAGGGUUACGAAAUUCUACUGAAAUCUCUCACACAAUCUCUGGAGAUUAUAUUAUCAUGACUAUUUUUUUUGACCUGAGCAGACGGAUGGGCUAUUUCACGAUUCAGACAUACAUUCCGUGUAUUCUAACAGUGGUUCUUUCCUGGGUGUCUUUUUGGAUCAAUAAAGAUGCAGUACCUGCUAGAACAUCCCUGGGUAUCACUACGGUUUUGACUAUGACAACCCUCAGUACAAUUGCUAGAAAAUCUUUACCUAAGGUUUCUUACGUGACAGCAAUGGAUCUCUUUGUCUCUGUGUGUUUCAUUUUUGUGUUUGCAGCACUCAUGGAAUACGGAACCUUGCAUUAUUUUACUAGCAACAAUAAAGGAAAAACCACCAGAGGCAGGAAGCUGAAAAACAAGACUUCGGCAUCUCAGAGAGAGAAGCAGUCCUAGUUCAUCUUCAAGUUCACCCAAGCCCUGUGUUGUGGAAGACAUACAGCCCAAGUUUUCCUGACUCUAAACUACUUGCUUUAUGUUACCCCAUAUUUUGACUCUUUCCUGAACUAUGACAUUUUCAAAUAUUAUUUUUAUCACUUACAAAUAUUCAUAUCCUGAAUCAUUUGGAUUUCUCAGCAGGCUUCCCCAGGUCUCCAUGCUGGAUCCACUCUCAUUCCCAUGAACAGCAUUUCUUUGCCACAAGGGGAAGAUGAUUAUGGCUACCAGUGUUUGGAGGGCAAAGACUGUACUAGCUUUUUCUGUUGCUUCGAUGACUGCAGAACUGGGUCCUGGAGGGAAGGGCGGAUACACAUACGCAUUGCAAAAAUUGACUCCUACUCCAGAAUCUUUUUCCCAACAGCUUUUGCCUUGUUCAAUCUGGUUUACUGGGUUGGGUAUCUAUACUUAUAAGUUCAGCCAAUAAAUUAAAAAUAAUCAUAAAAGUCUGGCUUAGUCCAAUAUAAUCAGUUGUAUUUCAUAACAUGAAGUUUAAAUUAAAGUGAAAGUCUACUAGUUAAAAUAUGAAUAAGAUGGUUAUGUGACUAGGGCUUUCAUAAAUGAAUAAGACAGAAUUAUUCAGGUUAAUCUAUCUAAAUAAACAUGUAAUUGAUUGUCCAAUAUAGCACAGUUAUAUCAUAAACUUAUAUUUUUACUUUAAUUUUUUUAUGUUUAUUGUAUAAAUCUAAUAUUGGACUUAAUACUUAUGUGAGAAAUAUUUUGAAUAUGAGAUAAUUUUAACACAUAUUUUAUUUAAAUAUACCUUUUGCUUAUAAUGAAAUACUACUGUCAAAUAUUAAAAUAUUCUUUGCCUAGAUUGCUCAUUAGCUUGAUUUUAUUUUUUGCUUUGUAUUUGCUCUGUUUAGGAUAUGGUUUCUUUAAAACAAAGCCAUGAUUUUCUUGGAUUUGUUCAAAGAUAUGUUAUUCCCAAGAAGAAAAUAAUGUAUUGAUUACUUUUUAAAUAAUUUUUGUGAACUGACAGUUUGUAUACAUUUAUAUAUUUAAACACUGUCAUGUCUUAUGUUUGAAGUACAAAGGAAUUAAACCAAGCUACUUGGAAACUACAGUUUUCAAAAUGGACAACUUUUAUUAGUUAUCCAAUCAAUUUUCUGCUCAAUGUUAAGCAGAAGUCAACCUUCACUUAUUUUGAGGAUUUUUAAAUUUGGAGAGGAAACACUAAAGUCAUUUUUUGUUUUUUUGUAAUGCAAGUUCAAAAAACUCAAAGUUAUAUUCUGCCUUGUAGGAUUUAUGAGGUAUAAAGAGGUUAACACAAAAAUGUUCAUAUGUACUAACAAUGAAAUCAAAUGGGAAAUGUUUUGUUUUUCCUUUAAGUGCUACAAAAGGGAUUCACAAGUUCAAAGAAUCAUUGAGUAAAAGAGCUUGAUUUAACAGGGCUUAACGAGCCAUCUGGCAAAAUAAACUCUAGGUUGUCUCAAAAUACAGACUUAAAUAUAUGCUAUUGAUAUUUUAUAGAGUAGAUAUAUUUGAAAACCAUCAAAAUUAUGUAUCUACCCAGCUGAUUUUUACAACUAUAUUAUAAUCGCCAUGUUCUCUCUUUUAGGCGUGUGAAAUUUCUCAAAACUCAUUUUACAAGUGGACUUUGUAUGAGACAACUGUAAUGAACUUGAGUAGGGACAUCACGAAAUCCAUACAGAGAGGAAAGGACUCUAGAGACUCUCACUUUAGGGAAAGCUGACAGUGUUGCCAAUGCUACAUCUGUGAGAGGAGGCUUCCACUUGGAAAUAAGCAAUAGAAAUAUUCACUGUAGGUCUGGCAAGAUGGCUCAGCACACAAGAGCAUUUUAUGCUCUUGCUGAGGACACAGGCUGAGUUAUUAUCCUCCACAGGAUAAUUUACUAAGGUCUGUAAUCAGGAAUCUAAAGCCCUUUUCUGGCCUUUGUUGAUACUGCAUGCACGUGGUUCAUACAAGCAGAGAAACACUCACAUAAAAUAAAAAUAAUAAAUCAGAGAAAGGCAUGUCCAUUUUUGACAGCAGUUGUCACAAUGAGAGGUCUUAUCAUCAAAAGUGUGUUGAUUUUGAGGAGGAGCUGUCAUGUGGGUGUUAGACACACAUACUUUUAAUUCAUGAAUUGGUGCACCUGGUGUAGCAGUCACUAGGUGAAACCUUGAUUGUAUUAUACUGUGAGAAUUAUAGUUGUCCAGAUAACUAUAACUUUCCACCUUACUCAGAAACACACAGAAUUUGAAGGACAAUAAAAUAUUGAGUUUUUUAACAAAUGGAGGUUCAAAUAAAAUUUUGACUAUGUGUAUAUUAAUUUUUAGAUAUUCCAUGCAUUUAUGUUGAAAAUAUUAAAUAUUGGUAAGAUGUUAAUGAAAUAAUCAUCAUUUAAGGGAUAAAAGAAGUAUGGACAAUCCGUUAGGGCGUAACAUGCUUCACUAUAUUUUUGUGGCUACUUCCAUAUUUGUAUUGAUGGCUUGCUCAUUGUUAAAGGUGUUAGGGAGUUUAGAGGUUUUCAAUUGUAUCUAAGCAUGCCUAUUUGUUAAAAUACUUUAAAAUGCUUGAUAUGAUUAUUUUUUUCAUUGCUGUUUUAUUACCUAGGAUUUAAAUGUUGACAAUAUUUACAAGUGAAAAUAAAAUUGUUAAAAAUAUCAUGUUCUCUACAUAUAUUCCAUAUAUAUAUAUAUAUAUCAUCAAAUAAGCAAUUUGCUUCAAAGCCAGUGGUAUUUUAUUUAAAUAUAAUUAUUAGAAGAACAGAUGUGCAAAUCUAAUUAUCUUCUAAACCUAGAAACAAAAAGAUUAUAUUUUCAUUUAGAUCUUAAGAAAUUCUCUAGAGCUUAGAGCUUAUCUUCAAGGGAGUAAAACCCAAUACUUGUUUUUAUCAUAUUUCAAAUUUAAAAUCAACUAUGUACUAUUCAGAUAAAUAUAUCCUUUUUUUCUAGAUGAGUUGAAAUAAUUUAUUAGAUUCAUUUUCCUGUACACAAAUUGAUUUGAAUACUAACAUAAACCAAAAAUAUAGUCACUAGGAAUGACAAGAAAUUGUCAAAUAGGAAGAUGUAAGAGCACAUGAGAAGGCGUUAAUUUAUGUGGACCCCGUUCCGAUUUACAAGACCAGGAUUUAAACUGAGAAGCAGAAGGUGCAUAGCAGCAUUUUAUUCUUGUAGACAAAACAGCAUAGUAACCUUUAUGUGCCCUUGAACUGCAUCCUAAGUAGUUUUCUCUAUAAGCUCCAUUUUAUCCCAGAACAUUAUUUUGAACAGUUAUGUCGCCCUCACCCAUCUGAAUGCAACACAAGAAGAUUCCAGCUUUACAUUUGCUAACAAAGCUGGGCCAUUUGGAAUGACAUUAGUAACUAAGUUGUGUUUUCUGUCAUUUUAAAGUGGCAAUGUGCAUACCAUCCUACAAUAAAAUAAACAACUGCAAUCAGGAACACAAUGCCAACUGAGUCUGCCCUUCAUCUGGCAGGAUUCUGAAGAGCUGAAUUUGUGUGUGUGUAUGUGUGUGUGUGAGAAUAUAGUUUGAAGAAAAUGGUUCCAAUUUCCAGUUUAACAAAUGCUAGACAUCUUAAUGUCUAUUGUGACACUUCAACCCCAAAACAAGUACCACCGUGAGAUAACUAUAACUGGGGCUUCCUACUUGAGAAAAUGUGGCAAGGAUAAAAAUAAGCACAGACCUUUGAGAAGUGUGUAUCAAGGUAUAGACAUACAUACAGGUUACAUAAAUCUAGAUAUAAAUGCCUAUUUCUAAUUUGUUGUUUAUUAAAUUAAUGGUUGUUAAUUUAAAUUGUAUUGACCCCACUUAAUGCUAUGUUCACACAUAAUCAAAGUAGGUCAUACUUAGUCAAAAUAUAUUUACAUUAGCUACGUUUACUGAGAGGGAAACCUUGGUGUAAAGGACUGUCCAUUCUUCAGCUGAUGCUGAACCAUUGGCAAGAAUGCAGCCUUCAAUCAAAAAGAACCAUCCACUUUCUCACUGAUCAAAGCUAUCAGGAUAUGGGAACACAUUGAAAGGAAAAAUUUCCCUUACUUACUCAAACAUACUUGCAUUUCCAGUUGAUGGCUUUUAAAAAAUUAUUCAUUAUACAUUCAAAUGACUCUGUAGUUUGGACAUCAAAAGUUGGCUAUUUUGGUUAGUUGAAGAAUUUUCCCCUUUGUCCACUGAAAUUUUAGAUAUUCUAAUAGCUAUUCUAUUAAAAAAAUCUUGAGUAGAGGGAUUUAACUCAAGUAAGAUUAAUUUAACAUAUUUUUAGAUUAACUAAAUUUCAUAUUAGUGAACAUUGCCUUUAAAUAUUUGAGUAGAAAAUGGCCAUUACUGAAAUUUCAGUGGGUUUAUGCUAUGAGCGAGCAUGGGUAUUGGGGUCAUUAAUUAAUGAAGGACUCUCUAGGACUGAAAUUGGAGAACACUUUGUUGACGAAGUUACCAGUGAUGACUAGAUAGCAUGGGACACAAGAGAAAAAGACUAGAUAUUAAAACAUAAAUAAUUAGCAAAAUUAACAAAGAGAUAUAGUGUGUUUAGGGGCCUGCAUAUGCACAUCUUAUGUUUAGUAUUUGUGUGUUUUUGAAUAGAUAGUAAGGCAAAUUCUGUCCUAUAGUUUGCUUACUGCUAUAUUUAAUCCUAUUUUAAUCUAUAUGAUCUAUCUCAUUAUGGAUGAAGGAUUAUAUCCCAAAAUACAAAUGGUAGGUGAACUACCAAAUAAUUAUUACUUUAUAAUAUAUCAUUAUUAUUAAAAAAUAUGUGUUUGUAAUCACAAUUUUGAGGAUGGGGACAGAAACAAGAAGGACCCUGAACUUCAUUGACACUAUUGAUACUAUGUUCAGUUCAGUGAACUUCAGGUUGGAUGUGAAAUCUUUUGUCAAAUGAUGAGGUGAAAACCAAUUUAGGAAACGCCUGAUUUAGACAUAUGGCUUCCACACAUACAUUAACAAGCACAUAAUCACAUAUACGCAUGGAUACAUGCAUACAUCACCUACACAUAUACAAUUCCGUCAGAAAAACAGACAAACACAUACACAAUUUACUGUACAUAAACCAUUAGUAGACUUGAUAAAACCAUAUUGUUUUACAUAUAGACAACCGCUUGUCAUAAGAAAUAAAUUAAAUUUUUUAAUAGGCAGUGAAAUUUACAAGGACUCGUUGUGCCUGUGAAUAAGAAAAAUUGUGAUAACUGGAAAACAGGACUAUGCAGAUUGUAAAGAAGAAUUUACUUCAAAGAAAGUAGUUCGUGUCUUGAUAAGUCACUGUAAUAACUGUUAUUUGCAUCCAUUAAGUGUGCACAGCCACAUCGCAUAAUAAAGUUUCAGGCUCAUGA